Molecule: non-coding RNA, 24 nt
Filed under: Mus musculus (house mouse)
Lineage: Eukaryota; Metazoa; Chordata; Mammalia; Rodentia; Muridae
Source: RNAcentral
UGAAGCUUAGGUUGUAAAUGUCAC